This 67-nucleotide transfer RNA is filed under the name Sminthurides bifidus. RNAcentral's name for it is "tRNA-Met". Lineage: Eukaryota; Metazoa; Arthropoda; Collembola; Symphypleona; Sminthurididae. The record is from RNAcentral.
AAAAAGAUAAGCUAAAUAUUAAGCUUUUGGGCUCAUACCUCAACUAUGAAUUUUUAUUCUCUUUUUA